This 3255-nucleotide long non-coding RNA is filed under the name Sus scrofa (pig). RNAcentral describes it as "lncRNA (ENSSSCG00005037166.1)". Lineage: Eukaryota; Metazoa; Chordata; Mammalia; Artiodactyla; Suidae. The record is from RNAcentral.
AAUUUGAAUGGACAUCCAGGAUGACUUUUAUAUCUGAUGGAUGGUUCUAGUUGGAAAAGUGUCUUGAGAGCCUUAAUGACUUCUAAGCAGUUAUGAUAGAACAGAUGGAAUGAUGGGAUUUGUUUGUUUGACUGUGUUUGUAUAGCAGUCAAAGUCUGAUUUCCUAGAAGUGGGUAUUAGUAUUACCUGAUGGUUCAUAGUGGUCAUCACUGCUUAGGAUAGAUUUUGGUAAAGUGAUCAAUAUGUGCAGAUUUUGGGCGAUUGAUAGUUAUGGUUUGGGGGAAUAGAUGUUUGUGAUUUUAUUGUGAUUUGGCUAUUUUUGAAUUAUGCUCUCUGUUAAUUUCAGAAUUAUUGCACCAUCAGGACAGAUAUUACAAGAAGAUCACUUUCAAAAGAAAUAAAAAUUGUUUUUAUGGUUUUCUUUAUGAUGCAUUAUACAUUACAACAAAACUGUAAAGACUGUUCAUGUGUUGUUGAUGAUAUAUUUUGUUCUUGGAGAGGUAUUGUUACUCUAACCUUUUGCUUUCUGAAGUGGUUUUCAUUGCUUCCAAAUUAAAGUUUACUGGGAAAGAUGGAAAAACUUGCAAAUGUUUGUUUCCUGGCAGUUAAUUUCUGGAUAGGUAUUAAGUUUUUAUGUUAGAAUCAAAAUCAAAUCUAACAUAACUCAUGAAAUGGCAAACUUUGCAGAAUUUGUUCUUAGUCACAUUCCUUUCCUAUCAAUAAAAGUUGAUCAAAAUUCCUUUUUCCCGUUUUUAGCCUUUUUUUUUUUUUUUUUUUUUUUUUUUUUUUUGGGCUGCACCCAUGGCAUAGGGAGGUUCCCAGGCUGGUGGCUACAGCUCUGAUUGGACCCCUAGCCUGGGAACCUCCAUAUGCCGCGGGAGCGGCCCAAGAAAUAGCAAAAAGACAAAAAAAAAAAAAAAAAAAAGGGAUAAAAAUGCUACCAAAGGAAGAAAUAUAGAAAGCAAGGCAGAAAAUAGUAACUUCUGACAACCUUUCUAAGGAGAAGAGAGAAAUUCUAAAAAUAUAUUGGUAACAAACUAGUAAAAGAACUAGUAUUAUCACCAUAAUCUGAAACUCUUUGACAAAGGGGCAAACUGCCUUCCUUCAGUAGCACCUGAGAGUAUCACUAUUACAACACAGUAGAAAACUGAUGAUUAAAAUGGUGAAAUUAAGUUACCAAGAAAAGGUUACCUUGUUUUCAAAAUAUGCUCUUUGAAAAGUCAUAAAAAUAUAUAAUUUUAGAAUUAAAAUUUUCAGAAGUGCCUUAUUUAUGCUAAACAUUUUAGCCUUAUCAAGAGUAAACUAUAGUCUGGAUUAAUUCUUUUGUUAGGAAUAAUUCCUUCUGUCUUCGUUUACCAUUCAUACCUUCCUUUAUAUUUGAAGGGCUUUUCUACCACUGGUAAUUGCUCUCAAAUGUGAGGAUUUAACUGUAGAAGCAGGGAUUUUAUUUAUUUUUUGUCUUUUUGUCUUUUUCUUGAGCCGCUCCUGCUUAUGCCCAGGCUAGGGGUCUAAUUGGAGCUGUAGCCACCGGCCUAUGCCAGAGCCACAGUAACACGGGAUCCGAGCCUGGUCUGCGACCCACACCACAGCUGCUAGGGCAACGUCAGACCCUGAACCCACCGAGCAAGUGUAGGGAUCGAACCCGAAACCUCAUGGUUCCUAGUCGGAUUCGUUAACCACUGUGCCAUAAUGGGAAUUCCUGAGAAGCAGGGAUUUUAAACCUACUCACUAUUUGUAAAAUCUCGUCUCCUAGAUCUGUUUCUUGUAUUAUUUUUUAACUUCCUUUUACACAAAAAGAGAUGCUUUUGUUUUUCUACAUGUCCAAUAGUCCAUAGUUGUACUAUGGUAUUCAGAGUUGAAUUAGCUGAAAUACAUGAAAUGAGUGGGGAAAACGUAACAUCUUACAAUUUUGUUAACUGGUCAUCUUUCCUUCACAAUCACACAAAAGUAAAACUACAGAUAAACAGAGCUCCCCCUCUCCAGUGAGAUUUUUCUGGGCUAGCAUGAGGUUAGAGUAGUUAGAGAUAGUAUUCAGUUUAAGUCAUGUUGUGGUAUUGGUAGGGUUUUUUUUUUUUUUAAUAGUGCACUCAAAAAAAUUAGAUUGUAGGAAAUGGAGGCAAGUUUUCAUGGCAAAAAUGCUACUGAUUAGGAUAAUUUUAUGUUCAAAUAGCUUUUUGACUAAAAGUAAGUUCAGAGAUUGGGUGUUUGUGUAUGAAUAUUGUGAUAAUGCAUCAUAUUUUAUUAUGUUUUUCUCCUGUGGGGUGAGUAAAAUUUUGAAGUCAUAAAGUUAUGUCAAAGUUUGUGCCCUGUUUUUUGUUUUGUUUUUUCGGUUUGGCUAGAUAAGGCCCUAAACUAUAGCAGUGGCAGUUGGAACAGAGAGCAAGGAGUGGAUUUGUGAUGAAUUUUAAAGGUAGUAUCCAUAGGACAGUUCAAAUUGGUACAGAAAUUUGAGAAUAUAAAGGGUUUAGGGAGUUAAGUUGCCAUAGCCUUUGUAGCUUGGGAAACUACAUAGAUGCUGUUGCUGUUACCUGAGUUAGAGAAGAAAUAAAUUUUUGGCAGGUAGAAGAAGGUGGGAAAGGAUGGUAGAUAAUGAGUUUAAGUUUUGGAUAUAUUGAAUUUUAGGUAUCUCUGUAGGUGAAGAUGCCCAGCAAGCAGUUACAAAUUUGGGUAUGGAACAAUGAAAAGAGGUUAGAAUUGGAGAAAGAUCUGAAAUCCGUCCAGUUUUCUUCAUCUCUUCUACUGUGAUCUGAGUUCAGGCUACUAUCAUCUCUCACCUACAUUAUUACAAGUUUCCUAUUUGGUCUCUUUUAAUCUUCUCCAGUCCAUUCUUAGCACUAGCUACAAUCAGCAGUCUUUCUAAAUGGCAAAUUUGAUUAUAUCAUUCCUCACCUUAAGUUUUUUCUCUGACUUUCUUUUAUCCUAUGAUGAAAUUCUCAUUCCUAUUCCUUUAACAGAUUUGUACAUUCAUUUAAGUUCUUCCCCCAACUUAUUUCUCUAGCCUAGUGUCUCUCCUCAACUUCUUGCUUCCCGUAAAUAGACUGAAUUACUUGUGGUUUCUGGCAGUAGACUCUCUCCCUUCCAAGCCUUUGACUUACUGUUUCUUUUUCCUGGAGAGUUCUCCUCAUCACACCCUUUCUCCCCUCCCUCUGUCUGACUUAUUUCUACUUAUCUUAGGUUCUUAGUCAGCCUUCAUUGUUUCGUUAUCAUCAUUAUUGUUAUCACUGAAAAAAAUUUUAAUCCACAGAAAAGAAAAAA